AUCAACUUUUAAAGUCAUUAUAUUUUUGUAGACUACUAGCAAUUAGGAUUACUUUGUUAUUCAAAUUUGUUGCUUUUAUAUAGUGUCCACUACAAGUCGGGAGUACUGAGUGUGGAUACUACGUCAUGAGGUAUUUGAGAGAAAUUGUGACUAGGGGAAGCAUUGUCAUAUCCGAUGCGAUUGAUACACGAAGAUCAUACUCACAGGCAGAACUAGACGAGGUGUGAGUUGAGUUAGCUGACUUUUUGGGUUCUUACAUAUGACUAUGACUAAUAUUUUGUGAUUCUGAAGUAGGAAGUUUUUUGUUGUGUCGCUUCUUUAUGACCUUAAACUUUAUGUAUAGAAACUUUAGCCGAUAAUUCUUUUGAAUUGUUCAUAUAGAGGAGGGGGGUUCAUUCGUAUAUACUUUUGAUUAUUGUUAUAGCUGACAUGUUUUGUGACUUUGUAAGUUGAUUUGAAUUCAUGCCAAUGUAAUGCCAUAUGAAAUCUAAUGUAAAGCCUAUUUCAUUAUGUAUAUGUAAAGUCUUGGAAUUAAAUAU
Molecule: long non-coding RNA, 539 nt
Organism: Cucumis sativus (cucumber)
Lineage: Eukaryota; Viridiplantae; Streptophyta; Magnoliopsida; Cucurbitales; Cucurbitaceae
Exons: 2
Source: RefSeq, a predicted model, not a curated record